RNAcentral lists this RNase P RNA (326 nucleotides) under Massilia sp. CF038. Its description in RNAcentral is "Bacterial RNase P class A". It matches the Rfam family "Bacterial RNase P class A". Rfam says of the family: Ribonuclease P (RNase P) is a ubiquitous endoribonuclease, found in archaea, bacteria and eukarya as well as chloroplasts and mitochondria. Its best characterised activity is the generation of mature 5'-ends of tRNAs by cleaving the 5'-leader elements of precursor-tRNAs. The record is from Rfam by way of RNAcentral. Lineage: Bacteria; Pseudomonadati; Pseudomonadota; Betaproteobacteria; Burkholderiales; Oxalobacteraceae.
GAAGUAGGCCAAGACAGUCGCUGGCUGACGUGUAAUGCGUUGGCGGGAGGAAGGUCCGGACUCCAUAGAGCAGGGUGACGGUUAAUGGCCGUCCGCCGCAAGGCGAGGAAUAGGGCCACAGAGACGAGCGUAUUAAGUUACGGUGAAACGCGGUAACCUCCACCUGGAGCAAUCCCAAAUAGGCACGCGUUGAGGCGGCUCGCGGAGCGUGCGGGUAGGGAGCUUGAGCGCAGGAGUAAUUCUGCGCCUAGAGGAAUGGCUGUCAUAGCGAACGUCCGCAAGGGCUGACGCCGUAACAAAAUCCGGCCUAUCGGCCUGCUUCACUU